CCUUUGUCGCUAAGAUUCG
This 19-nucleotide small nuclear RNA is filed under the name Arabidopsis thaliana (thale cress). Its description in RNAcentral is "snRNA_04449". The record is from RNAcentral. Lineage: Eukaryota; Viridiplantae; Streptophyta; Magnoliopsida; Brassicales; Brassicaceae.